Long non-coding RNA from Grus americana (Whooping crane), 817 nucleotides. RefSeq lists it as uncharacterized. NCBI's taxonomy places the organism in Eukaryota, Metazoa, Chordata, Aves, Gruiformes, Gruidae. The transcript has 3 exons. The record is from RefSeq and is a predicted model, not a curated record.
UCACAGAGAUACGUCAUAGAAUUUCUCAGAUGGAAAAUACAGCAAACUGAGACCAGCAGAAAGGGCAUCCAUUACAGCACAUACCUGAAAGCUUACUGUUCUGCUCAUGCUUCCCAUGGAAGUCUUCAGCCUGAGGAGGGUGCUGUUCAUCACUGUGAGACUUCAACACUGUCUCCAUCACAAAACAAACCUGAAGUAAAAAAACCCAAGACUUUGAGGACCACUUCUGGACACCUGGGGGAGCAAGCAUGUCUGAAAAGCAAAUUCUGCGCCUAGCAACGAGCUGACCUUUGCUGCAGAUACACGAUAAAUCCGCCUGUUACGAGACAAGCAGCACGAGUCCCCCACCAGCUGCAUCCCGGCCGCUCGCGGAGAGCGCGCGCACUGCAACCGAGCGGCGUCACCCGCGCAACGGUGGAGCUGAAGGCGCGCGACGUGCAGAACGGUUACAAGGAGGGCGGCGGGGGGGUCCGCGCGGGUUUGCCAGCGGGCGUGGGGCGUCCCGGGUGGCCGCCGCCGCCGGGAGCAGCGUGAAGAAGGGCGCUGCAGCUUCCCCCCGAGGAGCCGCCCCUCGGCACCGCUCCGCCGCGCCAGGUCGUUCCGAGCGGCCCCACGGGAACUACCCCCCUCCCCUCGCGGGGAUCAGCCGGGACGGGGGCGGGCAGAGCAGGGCCCCCCCAGGGACGAGCAGGCCGCGCCGCGUGGGUUCCCCCCCCCCGUCCCCGCGGAAGGCCGUGCGAAACCGGGGCCGCCAUGGCCGCAGCCGGCGGGGAAAAAGAGGGGGUAAGGCGGGGGGGGGCUGUAGCCGCGGUGCGGG